This 119-nucleotide ribosomal RNA is filed under the name Diaphorina citri (Asian citrus psyllid). Lineage: Eukaryota; Metazoa; Arthropoda; Insecta; Hemiptera; Psyllidae. The record is from RNAcentral.
AGAGGCGGGCGAUAGCACAAUAAAUUCACCACUUCCGAAUGGAUCACUGAAGUUAAGCAACAUUGCGCGUGGUCGGUAUCCGGAUGGGUGACCAUUUGGGUAAUCGCCUGCUGCUGGCU